Molecule: ribosomal RNA, 497 nt
Filed under: uncultured bacterium
Lineage: Bacteria
Description: partial 16S ribosomal RNA
Rfam family: Bacterial small subunit ribosomal RNA
Source: RNAcentral
GAUGAACGCUGGCGGCGUGCCUAAUACAUGCAAGUCGAGCGAACAGACGAGGAGCUUGCUCCUCUGACGUUAGCGGCGGACGGGUGAGUAACACGUGGAUAACCUACCUAUAAGACUGGGAUAACUUCGGGAAACCGGAGCUAAUACCGGAUAAUAUAUUGAACCGCAUGGUUCAAUAGUGAAAGACGGUUUUGCUGUCACUUCUAGAUGGAUCCGCGCCGCAUGAGCUAGUUGGUAAGGUAACGGCUUACCAAGGCAACGAUGCGUAGCCGACCUGAGAGGGUGAUCGGCCACACUGGAACUGAGACACGGUCCAGACUCCUACGGGAGGCAGCAGUAGGGAAUCUUACGCAAUGGGCGAAAGCAUGACGGAGCAACGCCGCGUGAGUGAUGAAGGUCUUCGGAUCGUAAAACUCUGUUAUUAGGGAAGAACAAAUGUGUAAGUAACUAUGCACGUCUUGACGGUACCUAAUCAGAAAGCCACGGCUAACUACGUG